This 253-nucleotide ribosomal RNA is filed under the name uncultured bacterium. RNAcentral describes it as "partial 16S ribosomal RNA". It matches the Rfam family "Bacterial small subunit ribosomal RNA", at positions 524 to 776 of the family's 1533-position model. The record is from RNAcentral.
UACGAAGGGGGCUAGCGUUGCUCGGAAUUACUGGGCGUAAAGGGCGCGUAGGCGGCACUGUUAGUCAGGCGUGAAAGUCCUGGGCUCAACCUGGGAACUGCGCUUGAUACGGCAGAGCUAGAGGAUGGAAGAGGGUCGCGGAAUUCCCAGUGUAGUGGUGAAAUUCGUAGAUAUUGGGAAGAACACCGGUGGCGAAGGCGGCGACCUGGUCCAUUACUGACGCUGAGGCGCGACAGCGUGGGGAGCAAACAGG